RNAcentral lists this ribosomal RNA (450 nucleotides) under Pseudomonas sp. MY-CA17. RNAcentral's name for it is "bacterial SSU rRNA". It matches the Rfam family "Bacterial small subunit ribosomal RNA", at positions 132 to 577 of the family's 1533-position model. Lineage: Bacteria; Pseudomonadati; Pseudomonadota; Gammaproteobacteria; Pseudomonadales; Pseudomonadaceae. The record is from RNAcentral.
GGUAGUGGGGGACAACGUUUCGAAAGGAACGCUAAUACCGCAUACGUCCUACGGGAGAAAGCAGGGGACCUUCGGGCCUUGCGCUAUCAGAUGAGCCUAGGUCGGAUUAGCUAGUAGGUGAGGUAAUGGCUCACCUAGGCGACGAUCCGUAACUGGUCUGAGAGGAUGAUCAGUCACACUGGAACUGAGACACGGUCCAGACUCCUACGGGAGGCAGCAGUGGGGAAUAUUGGACAAUGGGCGAAAGCCUGAUCCAGCCAUGCCGCGUGUGUGAAGAAGGUCUUCGGAUUGUAAAGCACUUUAAGUUGGGAGGAAGGGCAGUAAGCUAAUACCUUGCUGUUUUGACGUUACCGACAGAAUAAGCACCGGCUAACUCUGUGCCAGCAGCCGCGGUAAUACAGAGGGUGCAAGCGUUAAUCGGAAUUACUGGGCGUAAAGCGCGCGUAGGUG